RNAcentral lists this non-coding RNA (24 nucleotides) under Cricetulus griseus (Chinese hamster). Lineage: Eukaryota; Metazoa; Chordata; Mammalia; Rodentia; Cricetidae. The record is from RNAcentral.
UUGUAAUAAACUUCUGUCACUGAA